UGGGGAAUUUUGGACAAUGGGCGAAAGCCUGAUCCAGCAAUGCCGCGUGUGUGAAGAAGGCCUUCGGGUUGUAAAGCACUUUUGUCCGGAAAGAAAUCCUUGGCUCUAAUACAGUCGGGGGAUGACGGUACCGGAAGAAUAAGCACCGGCUAACUACGUGCCAGCAGCCGCGGUAAUACGUAGGGUGCAAGCGUUAAUCGGAAUUACUGGGCGUAAAGCGUGCGCAGGCGGUUUGCUAAGACCGAUGUGAAAUCCCCGGGCUCAACCUGGGAACUGCAUUGGUGACUGGCAGGCUAGAGUAUGGCAGAGGGGGGUAGAAUUCCACGUGUAGCAGUGAAAUGCGUAGAGAUGUGGAGGAAUACCGGUGGCGAAGGCAGCCCCCUGGGCCAAUACUGACGCUCAUGCACGAAAGCGUGGGGAGCAAACAGGAUUAGAUACCCUGGUAGUCCACGCCCUAAACGAUGUCAACUAGUUGUUGGGGAUUCAUUUCCUUAGUAACGUAGCUAACGCGUGAAGUUGACCGCCUGGGGAGUACGGUCGCAAGAUUAAACUCAAGGAAUUGACGGGGUCAUAGCUGUUU
RNAcentral lists this ribosomal RNA (580 nucleotides) under uncultured bacterium. RNAcentral describes it as "partial 16S ribosomal RNA". It matches the Rfam family "Bacterial small subunit ribosomal RNA", at positions 355 to 935 of the family's 1533-position model. The record is from RNAcentral.